This 424-nucleotide ribosomal RNA is filed under the name uncultured prokaryote. RNAcentral's name for it is "bacterial SSU rRNA". It matches the Rfam family "Bacterial small subunit ribosomal RNA", at positions 355 to 796 of the family's 1533-position model. The record is from RNAcentral.
UGGGGAAUCUUGGACAAUGGGGGAAACCCUGAUCCAGCGACGCCGCGUGGAUGAAGAAGGCCUUAGGGUUGUAAAGUCCUUUCACCGGGGAGGAUGAUGACGUUACCCGGAGAAGAAGCACCGGCUAACUCCGUGCCAGCAGCCGCGGUAAGACGGAGGGUGCUAGCGUUGUUCGGAAUCACUGGGCGUAAAGGGCGCGUAGGCGGCUUGGUUAGUCAGAUGUGAAACCCCAGGGCUCAACUCUGGAACAGCAUUUGAUACUCCCAAGCUUGAGGACGAAAGAGGAGAGUGGAAUACCCAGUGGAGAGGUGAAAUUCGUAGAUAUUGUGUGGAACACCAGUGGCGAAAGUGUCUCUCUGGUUCGAUUCUGACGCUGAGGCGCGAAAGCGUGGGGAGCAAACAGGAUUAGAUACCCGUGUAGUCC